This 206-nucleotide ribosomal RNA is filed under the name uncultured bacterium. RNAcentral's name for it is "partial 16S ribosomal RNA". It matches the Rfam family "Bacterial small subunit ribosomal RNA", at positions 568 to 774 of the family's 1533-position model. The record is from RNAcentral.
UGCGUAGGUGGUUUGUUAAGUCUGAUGUGAAAGCCCUGGGCUCAACCUGGGAACGGCAUUGGAAACUGGCUUACUAGAGUGCGGUAGAGGGGUGUGGAAUUCCCGGUGUAGCAGUGAAAUGCGUAGAUAUCGGGAGGAACAUCCGUGGCGAAGGCGACACCCUGGACCAGCACUGACACUGAGGCACGAAAGCGUGGGAGCAAACA